Molecule: ribosomal RNA, 465 nt
Filed under: Vreelandella stevensii
Lineage: Bacteria; Pseudomonadati; Pseudomonadota; Gammaproteobacteria; Oceanospirillales; Halomonadaceae
Description: partial 16S ribosomal RNA
Rfam family: Bacterial small subunit ribosomal RNA
Source: RNAcentral
CCUACGGGCGGCUGCAGUGGGGAAUAUUGGACAAUGGGCGAAAGCCUGAUCCAGCCAUGCCGCGUGUGUGAAGAAGGCCUUCGGGUUGUAAAGCACUUUCAGUGGGGAAGAAAGCCUUGGGGCUAAUACCCUCGAGGAAGGACAUCACCCACAGAAGAAGCACCGGCUAACUCCGUGCCAGCAGCCGCGGUAAUACGGAGGGUGCGAGCGUUAAUCGGAAUUACUGGGCGUAAAGCGCGCGUAGGCGGUCUGAUAAGCCGGUUGUGAAAGCCCCGGGCUCAACCUGGGAACGGCAUCCGGAACUGUCAGGCUAGAGUGCAGGAGAGGAAGGUAGAAUUCCCGGUGGAGCGGUGAAAUGCGUAGAGAUCGGGAGGAAUACCAGUGGCGAAGGCGGCCUUCUGGACUGACACUGACGCUGAGGUGCGAAAGCGUGGGUAGCAAACAGGAUUAGAUACCCUAGUAGUC